GGCCUUGCGCUCUUUGAGCGGCCGAUGUCAGAUUAGCUAGUUGGUGAGGUAAAGGCUUACCAAGGCGACGAUCUGUAGCGGGUCUGAGAGGAUGAUCCGCCACACUGGAACUGAGACACGGUCCAGACUCCUACGGGAGGCAGCAGUGGGGAAUUUUGGACAAUGGGGGCAACCCUGAUCCAGCCAUGCCGCGUGAGUGAAGAAGGCCUUCGGGUUGUAAAGCUCUUUCGGCCGGGAAGAAAUCGCAUGGGCCAAUACCCUGUGUGGAUGACGGUACCGGAAUAGGAAGCACCGGCUAACUACGUGCCAGCAGCCGCGGUAAUACGUAGGGUGCGAGCGUUAAUCGGAAUUACUGGGCGUAAAGCGUGCGCAGGCGGUUUUGUAAGACAGGCGUGAAAUCCCCGGGCUUAACCUGGGAACUGCGUUUGUGACUGCAAGGCUAGAGUACGGCAGAGGGGGGUGGAAUUCCACGUGUAGCAGUGAAAUGCGUAGAGAUGUGGAGGAACACCAAUGGCGAAGGCAGCCCCCUGGGUCGAUACUGACGCUCAUGCACGAAAGCGUGGGUAGCAAACAGGAUUAGAUACCCUGGUAGUCCACGCCCUAAACUAUGUCAACUAGGUGUUGGGUGGGUAAAACCAUUUAGUACCGUAGCUAACGCGUGAAGUUGACCGCCUGGGGAGUACGGCCGCAAGGUUAAAACUCAAAGGAAUUGACGGGGACCCGCACAAGCGGUGGAUGAUGUGGAUUAAUUCGAUGCAACGCGAAAAACCUUACCUACCCUUGACAUGCCAGGAACUUGCCAGAGAUGGCUUGGUGCCCGAAAGGGAGCCUGGACACAGGUGCUGCAUGGCUGUCGUCAGCUCGUGUCGUGAGAUGUUGGGUUAAGUCCCGCAACGAGCGCAACCCUUGUCGUUAAUUGCCAUCAUUUAGUUGGGCACUUUAACGAGACUGCCGGUGACAAACCGGAGGAAGGUGGGGAUGACGUCAAGUCCUCAUGGCCCUUAUGGGUAGGGCUUCACACGUCAUACAAUGGUCGGUACAAAGGGUUGCCAAGCCGCGAGGCGGAGCCAAUCCCAGAAAGCCGAUCGUAGUCCGGGUUGCAGGCUGCAACUCGCCUGCAUGAAGUCGGAAUCGCUAGUAAUCGUGGAUCAGCAUGUCACGGUGAAUACGUUCCCGGGUCUUGUACACACCGCCCGUCACACCAUGGGAGCGGGUUCCGCCAGAAGUAGGUAGCCUAACCGCAAGGGGGGCGCUUACCACGGCG
This 1264-nucleotide ribosomal RNA is filed under the name metagenome. RNAcentral describes it as "bacterial SSU rRNA". It matches the Rfam family "Bacterial small subunit ribosomal RNA", at positions 209 to 1464 of the family's 1533-position model. The record is from RNAcentral.